This 253-nucleotide ribosomal RNA is filed under the name uncultured bacterium. Its description in RNAcentral is "partial 16S ribosomal RNA". It matches the Rfam family "Bacterial small subunit ribosomal RNA", at positions 524 to 776 of the family's 1533-position model. The record is from RNAcentral.
UACGUAGGGACCAAGCGUUGUCCGGAAUCAUUGGGCGUAAAGAGCGUGUAGGCGGCUUGUUAAGUCUUGCGUGAAAUCUCGGGGCUCAACCCCGAGCGGUCGUGAGAAACUGGCAGGCUAGAGUGCGGGAGAGGAGAGUGGAAUUCCUGGUGUAGCGGUGAAAUGCGCAGAUAUCAGGAAGAACACCCGUGGCGAAGGCGGGUCUCUGGGCAACAACUGACGCUGAGGAGCGAAAGCGUGGGGAGCGAACAGG